GAGUGAGGGAGUGACUAGUGACAGAGGGAGGUAGUGACUAGUGACAGAGGGAGGUAGUGACUAGUGACAGAGUGAGGGAGGGGGUGACUGUCACUAGUCCCCAUCCCUCUCUCUGUCACUAGUCACUCCCUCCCUAACUCUGUCACUGUGUCACCCGCUCCCUCACUCUGUCACUAGUCACCCCCUCACUCACUCUGUCACUAAUCACCCCCUAUGUCCCUAGUGUCACCCUCUUCCUCACUUC
Pelobates cultripes (western spadefoot toad) is the source of this 244-nucleotide non-coding RNA. The record is from the annotation of a GenBank genome assembly. Lineage: Eukaryota; Metazoa; Chordata; Amphibia; Anura; Pelobatidae.